Molecule: ribosomal RNA, 465 nt
Filed under: Vreelandella stevensii
Lineage: Bacteria; Pseudomonadati; Pseudomonadota; Gammaproteobacteria; Oceanospirillales; Halomonadaceae
Description: partial 16S ribosomal RNA
Rfam family: Bacterial small subunit ribosomal RNA
Source: RNAcentral
CCUACGGGGGGCAGCAGUGGGGAAUAUUGGACAAUGGGGGCAACCCUGAUCCAGCCAUGCCGCGUGUGUGAAGAGGGCCCUCGGGUUGUAAAGCACUUUCAGUGAGGAAGAACGCCUGGUGGUUAAUACCCAUCAGGAAAGACAUCACUCACAGAAGAAGCACCGGCUAACUCCGUGCCAGCAGCCGCGGUAAUACGGAGGGUGCGAGCGUUAAUCGGAAUUACUGGGCGUAAAGCGCGCGUAGGUGGCUUGAUAAGCCGGUUGUGAAAGCCCCGGGCUCAACCUGGGAACGGCAUCCGGAACUGUCAAGCUAGAGUGCAGGAGAGGAAGGUAGAAUUCCCGGUGUAGCGGUGAAAUGCGUAGAGAUCGGGAGGAAUACCAGUGGCGAAGGCGGCCUUCUGGACUGACACUGACACUGAGGUGCGAAAGCGUGGGUAGCAAACAGGAUUAGAUACCCGAGUAGUC